AUACCCUAUUCCCUUCAUUUAACGGAUACAGAAUCGCGUCCCAACCUACAUCGCAGGACAACUCCUCUUCAAGCCUACAUCGAUCAGGUCUUAGUCAUUUUUUUCCAGAGAUAAUCCUCUUCUUCCCCAGGUUCAAGAUUGUUGUAGAAAUCAUUCUUCUCCUUCAGUUUCUUGUCUUUAUCGGCAAAACUAUCUGCUUACCAGGAAGCAAGGAGAGAACACCAUUUCUUAGGAAAUCAAAAUGACGAAAGUGUUGAGGCUGUUGAGAAUCCUAGAUCAAUUGCAAUUAAGGUUGUUCUAUUGCUGUUGCUCGACACUGUCAUUGAUGCUGUGUUUGCUGAUCCCCUUGUGGAUGCUGUCAAUAAUUUCUCUAGUGCCACAAGCAUUCCUUCUUUCUUCAUCUCAUUCAUUGUGCUUCCAUUUGCAACCAACUUCAGUGAGGCAGUGUCAGCUAUUAUCUUUGCUAGCCGGAAAAAGUUGAGAUCAUCAUCAUUAACAUUUUCGGAGGUUUGUUUUCCUGAUGCAGCUUCUAUCAACUCUACUUUAUAGUAGAUCUGCUUUCGCUACCCAUUACUUGCAUCAGUGAACCUGAAAGAUAAUUAAUGAACAUUAAGGGGUCAUUUAGUUGCAAGGAUUAGGGAUAAUAAUCUCGGGAUAAAAUGUAGGAUUGUUUUAUCCGCCUUUGAUUGAAUUUUUUGUUCUGGUAUAAGAAAUAUGCAAUUAUUUAUACCACAAUUGUGGUAUUGUUUUUA
Long non-coding RNA from Nicotiana tabacum (common tobacco), 752 nucleotides. RefSeq lists it as uncharacterized. The record is from RefSeq and is a predicted model, not a curated record. Lineage: Eukaryota; Viridiplantae; Streptophyta; Magnoliopsida; Solanales; Solanaceae.